RNAcentral lists this unclassified non-coding RNA (346 nucleotides) under soil metagenome. Its description in RNAcentral is "partial contains 5.8S ribosomal RNA, internal transcribed spacer 2, and large subunit ribosomal RNA". The stretch from base 1 to 120 matches the Rfam family "5.8S ribosomal RNA", at positions 35 to 154 of the family's 154-position model. The record is from RNAcentral.
GAUGAAGAACGCAGCGAAAUGCGAUAAGUAAUGUGAAUUGCAGAAUUCAGUGAAUCAUCGAAUCUUUGAACGCACCUUGCGCUCCUUGGUAUUCCGAGGAGCAUGCCUGUUUGAGUGUCAUUUCAACCCUCAAGCCCCCGGGUUUGGUGUUGGGGAUCGGCUCUGCCUUACGGCGGUGCCGCCCCCGAAAUACAUUGGCGGUCUCGCUGCAGCCUCCAUUGCGUAGUAGCUAACACCUCGCAACUGGAACGCGGCGCGGCCAUGCCGUAAAACCCCAACUUCUGAAUGUUGACCUCGGAUCAGGUAGGAAUACCCGCUGAACUUAAGCAUAUCAAUAAGCGGAGGA